UACGGAGGGGGCAAGCGUUGUCCGGAAUCAUUGGGCGUAAAGAGCGUGUAGGCGGCCAGGUAGGUCUGCUGUGAAAACUCGAGGCUUAACCUCGAGAUGUCGGCGGAAACCAUCUGGCUAGAGUCCGGAAGAGGAGAGUGGAAUUCCUGGUGUAGCGGUGAAAUGCGCAGAUAUCAGGAGGAACACCAAUUGCGAAGGCAGCUCGCUGGGACGUAACUGACGCUGAGACGCGAAAGCGUGGGGAGCAAACAGG
RNAcentral lists this ribosomal RNA (253 nucleotides) under uncultured bacterium. RNAcentral's name for it is "partial 16S ribosomal RNA". It matches the Rfam family "Bacterial small subunit ribosomal RNA", at positions 524 to 776 of the family's 1533-position model. The record is from RNAcentral.